AUUGAACGCUGGCGGCAGGCCUAACACAUGCAAGUCGAGCGGAUGAGGGGAGCUUGCUCCCUGAUUUAGCGGCGGACGGGUGAGUAAUGCCUAGGAAUCUGCCUGGUAGUGGGGGAUAACGUUCCGAAAGGAACGCUAAUACCGCAUACGUCCUACGGGAGAAAGCAGGGGACCUUCGGGCCUUGCGCUAUCAGAUGAGCCUAGGUCGGAUUAGCUAGUUGGUGAGGUAAUGGCUCACCAAGGCGACGAUCCGUAACUGGUCUGAGAGGAUGAUCAGUCACACUGGAACGGAGACACGGUCCAGACUCCUACGGGAGGCAGCAGUGGGGAAUAUUGGACAAUGGGCGAAAGCCUGAUCCAGCCAUGCCGCGUGUGUGAAGAAGGUCUUCGGAUUGUAAAGCACUUUAAGUUGGGAGGAAGGGCUGCUGGUUAAUACCCUGCAGUUUUGACGUUACCAACAGAAUAAGCACCGGCUAACUUCGUG
RNAcentral lists this ribosomal RNA (484 nucleotides) under uncultured bacterium. Its description in RNAcentral is "partial 16S ribosomal RNA". It matches the Rfam family "Bacterial small subunit ribosomal RNA", at positions 30 to 507 of the family's 1533-position model. The record is from RNAcentral.